Molecule: long non-coding RNA, 213 nt
Filed under: Linum usitatissimum (flax)
Lineage: Eukaryota; Viridiplantae; Streptophyta; Magnoliopsida; Malpighiales; Linaceae
Description: long non-coding RNA (LUSI_LNC000144)
Source: RNAcentral
UGGUGGAGGAGAGGUUGCAGUUGAAGGAGAAGGACGACCAAUCCAUAGCGCCACCGCCGAAUCGCUACUCAAGAAGCACCGCUUUGAUUCCGCCGGAUUGCAAACAACCACCGCCACUACUGCGGGUGCCGUCAACAACAGCAGCAGCAGCAACUCGGGAAGUAGCUUGGACGCUAGCAGGGACACCGACAUGACUCUUGGAAACGGAAAUCC